This 443-nucleotide ribosomal RNA is filed under the name uncultured bacterium. Its description in RNAcentral is "partial 16S ribosomal RNA". It matches the Rfam family "Bacterial small subunit ribosomal RNA", at positions 28 to 507 of the family's 1533-position model. The record is from RNAcentral.
GAUGAACGCUGGCGGCAUGCCUAACACAUGCAAGUCGAUCGGUAAGGCUCUUCGGAGUACACGAGAGGCGGACGGCUGAGUAACGCGUAGGAACACACCCUGCAGUGAGGGAUAAGACACCGAAAGGUGUUCUAAUACCGCAUACGGUCUGCGGAUUAAAGCAUUUAUGCGCUGAAGGAGUGGCCUGCGUCAUAUUAGAUAGUUGGUGAGGUAAUGGCUCACCAAGUCGAUGAUGUGUAGCUGGUCUGAGAGGAUGAUCAGCCAGACUGGAACUGAGACACGGUCCAGACUCCUACGGGAGGCAGCAGUGAGGAAUAUUUCACAAUGAGCGAAAGCUUGAUGGAGCAAUGCCGCGUGCAGGAUGAAGGCCCUCGGGUUGUAAACUGCUUUUAUAAGAGAAGAUUAUGACGGUAACUUAUGAAUAAGGGACGGCUAACUACGUG